GCAGUGGUAGUUCAGUGGUAGAAUUCUUGUCUUCCAUGCAGGAGACCAGGUUUGAUUCCCAGCCAUUGUA
RNAcentral lists this transfer RNA (70 nucleotides) under Loxodonta africana (African savanna elephant). It matches the Rfam family "tRNA". From Rfam's summary of the family: Transfer RNA (tRNA) molecules are approximately 80 nucleotides in length. The record is from Rfam by way of RNAcentral. Lineage: Eukaryota; Metazoa; Chordata; Mammalia; Proboscidea; Elephantidae.